UGCUAAUUAACACAGGCAGCUAGCUAGUCCACGCCGUGUGUUGCGUAAAAAAGCGCUGAAAUAUGGCCGUGUGGGAACCCUAACCCUAUAUAAAAGACUAGACGCUGUGUUGCAUAUUGCUGCCUUUCGCAGGUCGGAGUGCGAAUUGCACACUUUGGUCACUAGGAAAAUGGGAAGGAAUCUUAUAGCUUGGAUGGAAGGCUGGAGGAGGGAACAAAGGGAAUGGUUCCUGAAACAUCAAUGACCUGAUGCAUGGCCUCUACAGCAGUGCUUGGCCACCCACUCAGUUACCAGUGACAUUCUGCCAUAUUCCAGGAAAAGGAGACAGCAGAACCACCACUCCUUAAAUCCAUAGUCAUUAACCACAUUUCCAUCCACAGUUUUUAAGCAAGUCAUACUUUAUUAAAAAGAGUGAAGACGCCUUUAUGUGCAAAUAUUGAUAUAAUAACCAUCAUAUCGAAGUCACGCGAUGAUAUGGUGGGUGGUCCUCCCACUACGACUAGGGAAAGCAUGCAGUUUAUUAAGCUAUUGAUUAAAUAAAAUAUGAUGAACUUCACAGGGUGGUGAAAGUGCUAGAUGCUCCUUUCCAAAAAAUAUUGAGUGUCUUAUUCUGGUGACAUGAUGAUUGACAAUUGAAUGCUGUUUGACAAAUACAAAUAUUCUCACUCUUAUCCAUAAUAACCUCAUCAUGUAGACCAGUGGUCACCAACCUAUCUAUCUUCUGGUCGAUCUCCAAUCCAUUCCUAGUCCAUUCCUAGCCAAACAUUUCUGUAAAAAACCCAACGAUAAAGCCUUGCAUUCCUAUGUUUUUGUUCGGUUCACGCUGUUGACGGUAGCUGUACUUGAUUCAGCAGCCCUAGGGCCGGGAAGGCAAAGUGUUUCCAUUUUGAACCAUUUCAUGUCUGAACUUCAGGUAGAACUUUGUCUACCCCGCAGGCCCAGAGAGAAAAUCAAGUGCACCGAAAGGUCUACCGCUGGCCAAUCAGAUAGCUCAGAUCACCGUGUCUGCAGUUUCCUCGCGCCAUAGACAGUAAAAAAAGAAGAAGCCUCGAAUGCACACAAGUUGAUAAUGUGAGAUUUCAAAACUUUUAAAACCAUAACUAGAGAGACUAAACCAAUACAGCAAAGAGCUAUUGUUUUUAUGAGUAUGUUAAUGUAAGUUGUUAUUCAGCACUGUUAGAACUUUGUUCCACAGAUUUAUAAGCCAUAAAAUGCGCGUUUCGACAAGCUUGCGUUGUUAUUACUUGCAGCUUGUGUCUUUUUAAUAUCGAGGAAUAUUUCACUUUCUCUGGCCCCAUGUUCACUAGCAUGCGGUGCCGCGUGGUGAAACACCGCUUCCCAUUCAUUUUCAAUGGAAGGAAAGAGGUGAGAAGCGGAGAGGGCGGGGGACCUUUGGGCUGCGCAAAGGUGGCGUGGGACGCGGCAUGUUCACUAGCAAUCGGUAAUUGCCGCAUGCCACUUAGGCCGCCCAUUGUGACUCGCUUGUGGGCGUGCUAGCAGCAUAUAACAGCACGUUCGAUUGUGCAUCAAGAAAUCAGCAUAGCAAGUUUGUAUUUUUAUUUUAUCUUUAUUUAACUAGGCAAGUCAGUUAAGAA
Salvelinus namaycush (lake trout) is the source of this 1595-nucleotide long non-coding RNA. RefSeq lists it as uncharacterized. The transcript is spliced from 4 exons. NCBI's taxonomy places the organism in Eukaryota, Metazoa, Chordata, Actinopteri, Salmoniformes, Salmonidae. The record is from RefSeq and is a predicted model, not a curated record.